GACGAACGCUGGCGGCGUGCUUAACACAUGCAAGUCGAACGGAAAGGCCCUGCUUUUGUGGGGUGCUCGAGUGGCGAACGGGUGAGUAACACGUGAGUAACCUGCCCUUGACUUUGGGAUAACUUCAGGAAACUGGGGCUAAUACCGGAUAGGAGCUCCUGCUGCAUGGUGGGGGUUGGAAAGUUUCGGCGGUUGGGGAUGGACUCGCGGCUUAUCAGCUUGUUGGUGGGGUAGUGGCUUACCAAGGCUUUGACGGGUAGCCGGCCUGAGAGGGUGACCGGCCACAUUGGGACUGAGAUACGGCCCAGACUCCUACGGGAGGCAGCAGUGGGAAAUAUUGCACAAUGGGGGGAAGCCUGUUGCGGCAACGCCGGGUGCGGAAUGACGGCCUUCGGGUUGUAAACCGCUUUCGCCUGUGACGAAGCGGGAUUGACGGUAAUGGGUAAAGAAGCACCGGCUAACUACGUG
RNAcentral lists this ribosomal RNA (468 nucleotides) under uncultured bacterium. RNAcentral's name for it is "partial 16S ribosomal RNA". It matches the Rfam family "Bacterial small subunit ribosomal RNA", at positions 28 to 507 of the family's 1533-position model. The record is from RNAcentral.